RNAcentral lists this ribosomal RNA (592 nucleotides) under uncultured fungus. RNAcentral's name for it is "eukaryotic LSU rRNA". It matches the Rfam family "Eukaryotic large subunit ribosomal RNA", at positions 23 to 641 of the family's 3401-position model. Lineage: Eukaryota; Fungi. The record is from RNAcentral.
ACCCGCUGAACUUAAGCAUAUCAAUAAGCGGAGGAAAAGAAACCAACAGGGAUUGCCCCAGUAACGGCGAGUGAAGCGGCAACAGCUCAAAUUUGAAAUCUGGCCUCACGGUCCGAGUUGUAAUUUGCAGAGGAUGUUUCUGGCAAGGUGCCUUCCGAGUUCCCUGGAACGGGACGCCAUAGAGGGUGAGAGCCCCGUCCGGUUGGUCGCCGCGCCUCUGUGAAACUCCUUCGACGAGUCGAGUAGUUUGGGAAUGCUGCUCUAAAUGGGAGGUAUACGUCUUCUAAAGCUAAAUACCGGCCAGAGACCGAUAGCGCACAAGUAGAGUGAUCGAAAGAUGAAAAGCACUUUGAAAAGAGGGUUAAAAAGUACGUGAAAUUGUUGAAAGGGAAGCACUCAUGACCAGACUUGGGCCGGUUGAUCAUCCGUCGUUCUCGGCGGUGCACUCUGCCGGCCCAGGCCAGCAUCAGUUCGUCCCGGGGGAUAAAGGUUUCGGGAAUGUGGCUCCUCCGGGAGUGUUAUAGCCCGUUGCGUAAUACCCUGGGGUGGACUGAGGUUCGCGCUUUCGCAAGGAUGCUGGCGUAAUGGUCUU